Podarcis lilfordi (Lilford's wall lizard) is the source of this 70-nucleotide non-coding RNA. The record is from the annotation of a GenBank genome assembly. Lineage: Eukaryota; Metazoa; Chordata; Lepidosauria; Squamata; Lacertidae.
AGUUAGCUGAGUUGGUUAGAGCGUGGUGCUGACAACGCCACGGUUGUGGGUUCAAGCCCCAUAUGGGCUG